This 76-nucleotide transfer RNA is filed under the name Clostridium sp. Its description in RNAcentral is "tRNA-Thr". It matches the Rfam family "tRNA". Rfam says of the family: Transfer RNA (tRNA) molecules are approximately 80 nucleotides in length. Lineage: Bacteria; Bacillati; Bacillota; Clostridia; Eubacteriales; Clostridiaceae. RNAcentral also lists the same sequence under 5 other names. The record is from RNAcentral.
GCCACUAUAGCUCAGUUGGUAGAGCGACGGAUUCGUAACCCGUAGGCCAGCAGUUCGAUUCUGCUUGGUGGCACCA